Phascolarctos cinereus (koala) is the source of this 1890-nucleotide non-coding RNA. The record is from RefSeq and is a predicted model, not a curated record. Lineage: Eukaryota; Metazoa; Chordata; Mammalia; Diprotodontia; Phascolarctidae.
AGUUUCUGGAUAUAGCCCUUAUUUCAGUUUCAAACAGGAAACUGUAGCUUAUCUAUAAAGUGUGUAUGUGCUUAUGUGUAUGUGUCUAUCUAGAUGCAUGCAGACGCCUUUCAGCACCGGGUAUGUUUGGAGGUCAGACAACAUGAUUAGAGGAGCAAGGAUAUAUACAUCAAAAUUGGUGCUUGCUACUUAACAUUUCACAAGGGGACAAUUUGAUAUCCAUAGAUGAUAGAAAAUGUCAAGCAAUGCUUGAAAUAUGCCUAUAACAUGGAGAAGAUACAGCUAUAAUAUGGCUUUAAAACUCUGAGCAAUGUGCUGAGGAGCAUUCUUUGCACUCCUUUUGGUGCUGGUGAGACCAUCGGAUGUAGCAGAGGAAACUCAAGAGUCACUUUGGAGGUUCCAAGUUGAAGUAGCGAUCAACAAACAGAGGAAAAAGUAGUAUUCCUUGCUUUCUGGAUAAAAUAUAAAUAAUCAGAAAAUCAGAGAAUUUUGCAACUAGAAGCAAUCUUAGAGAUUAUCCACUCCAUUCCCUUAAUUGUAAAGAUGUGCUUUAAAAAAAAAUGAAAACAGAAGCUUUGUUUCUCAACUAUUCACAUCAUCUAUUUGUGAAAGACAUAGCUGGGUCUUAUGAUUAAAGCAAGUUUAAAACUCCUAGUUCAAUUUAGAGUUUCUACCAUUUGUAAUCUAACCAAAUUUAGGGAACUCACUUCUAAUUUUUAUCUCCAUGACCCUUCCUCUUUAUGCAACACAAUUAGUGUGUGAUUUCCCCCCCCACCUUAUUUAUAUCUAGGAAACCCACUUUUCUAUUGUGAAGCUUCAAACAACUCCCCAGGAUUUGAUCUUACAGCUCUGGUUCCUUUUUCCCCAGAAUAUUUUUUCCCACUUAACUGAAACAUAAACUACAGUCUUAUGCUCUACUCCCUGCUUUCCCUCUCUCAAGUUUUGCCCCCAAAGACCUUACUGUAAUGAAGAGAAAACAAGAGAUUCAACACCCCCUUACUUCCCCCACCUUCACCCCCCCAUUCACCUUUUAAGGGGAACUGCCUUGCAUUACUCUUCUAACUUUCCUCACUGUGUCCACCUGCUAUAUGGCAUUUAACUUCAAUACAACCACCUAUAAGUUGAGUACAGUACUACAUGAGUAAAGUACUUCCCGAGAAGUAUAAUAAUGGCAAGAAUUAAUUAAUGUUUAUGAAAUACUUUGAGGUCCUUAAAAUAGAAAGACGCUGUAACCAACAAAGUAUUAUUAUCUCUUUGCCCUGAGUCCUAGAAACAAAUCCAACUGCAAUGAUGGACUAUUUUUUUUUUAUCACGGAAAGACCUUAGUUGUCCUCCUUUCAGCAGUUUUCCCAGCCAAGUGAGUUAUGUUUUCUGCUUUUUUUUUUAAAAGAUAUAAUGAAACAAUAACCUAUUCUCAAAUGAAAUCACAUGAGAUGCAGGACACUCCAUUUCCCUUCUCAUGCCUUUGCACUGGCUGUCCCAACCAUUCUCGGAACGUCUUUCCCUCUUCACCUCUACCUUCUAGUUUCCCUGGUUUCCUUGAAGAUUCCGCACAGAUCCAAUCCUAGCCUCUCCAGAAGUCCCUGUCUCAGUCGCCUACUAACUAGCGCCUUCCCCAUUGAGAGUACCUUCCAUUUAUUCUGAAUAUAUCUUGGUAGGUACUUAGUCAUUUUUAUGUUUGUUUCACCCAUUAGAGCAUGAGUUCCUUAAGGGUAUGGAUUAUUUUUUGCCUUCCUAUCCUCUGGGCUUAGCACCAAUGGGCUUAAUAAUAAAAUGCCUAUUGACUAAGUAUGGAAUAGAUCUGUAAAGUUAGCUAUGUAGACCUUAAAGCAAAAAUCACUAUAAUUCUGCACCUUCAGGAGUGAAAGAACGAAAUCUCUUUUGGAGUGA